UUAAAUUGAAGAGUUUGAUCAUGGCUCAGAUUGAACGCUGGCGGCAGGCCUAACACAUGCAAGUCGAACGGUAACAGGAAGCAGCUUGCUGCUUCGCUGACGAGUGGCGGACGGGUGAGUAAUGUCUGGGAAACUGCCUGAUGGAGGGGGAUAACUACUGGAAACGGUAGCUAAUACCGCAUAACGUCGCAAGACCAAAGAGGGGGACCUUCGGGCCUCUUGCCAUCGGAUGUGCCCAGAUGGGAUUAGCUUGUUGGUGGGGUAACGGCUCACCAAGGCGACGAUCCCUAGCUGGUCUGAGAGGAUGACCAGCCACACUGGAACUGAGACACGGUCCAGACUCCUACGGGAGGCAGCAGUGGGGAAUAUUGCACAAUGGGCGCAAGCCUGAUGCAGCCAUGCCGCGUGUAUGAAGAAGGCCUUCGGGUUGUAAAGUACUUUCAGCGGGGAGGAAGGGAGUAAAGUUAAUACCUUUGCUCAUUGACGUUACCCGCAGAAGAAGCACCGGCUAACUCCGUGCCAGCAGCCGCGGUAAUACGGAGGGUGCAAGCGUUAAUCGGAAUUACUGGGCGUAAAGCGCACGCAGGCGGUUUGUUAAGUCAGAUGUGAAAUCCCCGGGCUCAACCUGGGAACUGCAUCUGAUACUGGCAAGCUUGAGUCUCGUAGAGGGGGGUAGAAUUCCAGGUGUAGCGGUGAAAUGCGUAGAGAUCUGGAGGAAUACCGGUGGCGAAGGCGGCCCCCUGGACGAAGACUGACGCUCAGGUGCGAAAGCGUGGGGAGCAAACAGGAUUAGAUACCCUGGUAGUCCACGCCGUAAACGAUGUCGACUUGGAGGUUGUGCCCUUGAGGCGUGGCUUCCGGAGCUAACGCGUUAAGUCGACCGCCUGGGGAGUACGGCCGCAAGGUUAAAACUCAAAUGAAUUGACGGGGGCCCGCACAAGCGGUGGAGCAUGUGGUUUAAUUCGAUGCAACGCGAGGAACCUUACCUGGUCUUGACAUCCACGGAAGUUUUCAGAGAUGAGAAUGUGCCUUCGGGAACCGUGAGACAGGUGCUGCAUGGCUGUCGUCAGCUCGUGUUGUGAAAUGUUGGGUUAAGUCCCGCAACGAGCGCAACCCUUAUCCUUUGUUGCCAGCGGUCCGGCCGGGAACUCAAAGGAGACUGCCAGUGAUAAACUGGAGGAAGGUGGGGAUGACGUCAAGUCAUCAUGGCCCUUACGACCAGGGCUACACACGUGCUACAAUGGCGCAUACAAAGAGAAGCGACCUCGCGAGAGCAAGCGGACCUCAUAAAGUGCGUCGUAGUCCGGAUUGGAGUCUGCAACUCGACUCCAUGAAGUCGGAAUCGCUAGUAAUCGUGGAUCAGAAUGCCACGGUGAAUACGUUCCCGGGCCUUGUACACACCGCCCGUCACACCAUGGGAGUGGGUUGCAAAAGAAGUAGGUAGCUUAACCUUCGGGAGGGCGCUUACCACUUUGUGAUUCAUGACUGGGGUGAAGUCGUAACAAGGUAACCGUAGGGGAACCUGCGGUUGGAUCACCUCCUUACCUUAAAGAAGC
Molecule: ribosomal RNA, 1556 nt
Filed under: Escherichia coli M8
Lineage: Bacteria; Pseudomonadati; Pseudomonadota; Gammaproteobacteria; Enterobacterales; Enterobacteriaceae
Description: bacterial SSU rRNA
Rfam family: Bacterial small subunit ribosomal RNA
Source: RNAcentral